This 1283-nucleotide long non-coding RNA is filed under the name Selaginella moellendorffii. RNAcentral's name for it is "long non-coding RNA (SMOE_LNC001241)". The record is from RNAcentral. Lineage: Eukaryota; Viridiplantae; Streptophyta; Lycopodiopsida; Selaginellales; Selaginellaceae.
UGGACCGUGAUGAUCUGGGCUUACGCGCAGCAGGGUUUCAUUCGAGCGGCCUUCGAUCUCUACAAGAGAAUGGACUGCGAGCCAAACGCUGUAACUUUCAUGGCCGUGAUGGAUUCCUGUUUGCGUCCAGAGGACUUACCGCGAGCGGAGCAAAUCCACGCACACAUGGUUGCCUCCGGCUUUGAUUCCGAUGCUGUCUUGCAAGUUUGUCUCGUCACCAUGUAUGGGAAGUGUGGGAGCGUCGACAGCGCUUGGAGCAUCUUCGAAAACUUGAAGGAGAGAAGCGUGGUUGCAUGGAACUCCAUGCUAUCUGCGUUCGCCAGCAACGGGUGUUACGAGAGGAGCUUGAAACUCUACGAAAGAAUGCUGCUAGAGGGGAAAACACCCGACAAGAUCACUUACUUGGCUGUGCUUGAUGCCUGCCAGAGCGUUUCCGAGGCCCGGAGGUACGCCGCUACCUUCGAGCUGGAGCUAGAUAUUGCUGCAAAAAAUGCCGCGGUCAGUGCGUACGCGAGGUGUGGAAGCUUGAAAGAAGCCAAGGCUGCGUUUGAUGCAAUACAAUGGAAGAACAAUGCUGUGACAUGGAACGCCAUGAUCUCCGGCCUUGCACAGCACGGCGAGAGCAAGCAAGCUCUCGAGUGCUUUUGGAAAAUGGAACUGGAAGGAGUGAGACCAAACUCGGUCACUUACCUCGCAAGUCUAGAGGCAUGCUCGAGCUUGAACGAUUUGACGAGAGGGAGACAACUCCACGCCAGGAUCCUCCUGGAAAACAUACACGAGGCAAACCUCAGCAAUGCCGUGAUCAACAUGUAUGGCAAGUGUGGAAGUCUAGACGAAGCAAUGGACGAGUUUGCAAAAAUGCCCGAGAGAGAUGUGGUCUCCUGGAACACAAUGAUAGCAACAUACGCUCAACACGGCAGUGGAAGACAAGCACUAGAGUUUUUCAAGCAAAUGGACCUGGAAGGAUGGACUACGGACAGAGCAACGUACCUGGGAGCGAUCGACGCGUGCGGCAGCGUUCCAUCUCUAGCUCUCGGAAAAACCAUCCACUCCAUCGUCGCCACUGCUGCUCCAUGCCUGGAACAAGAUCCGGGAGUCGCCACAGCGCUCGUCACCAUGUAUGCUCGGUGUGGAAGCCUGCACGACGCAAAGUCAGUGUUCUGGAGAUCUCACUCGCGGAACCUCGUUACCUGGUCGAACUUGAUCGCUGCGUGUGCUCAGCACGGCCGAGAGAACGAGGCCCUGGAUCUCUUCCGCGAGAUGCAGCUCCAGGGAACCAAGCC